GGAGCCAGUUGAACGGCUACCACAUCUAAGGAAGGCAGCAGGCGCGCAAAUUACCCAAUGAAAACAGUUUCGAGGUAGUGACGAGAAAUAACAAUACAGGGCAUUUUAUGCUCUGUAAUUGGAAUGAUGGGAAUCCAAAACCCUUUCAGAGUAACAAUUGGAGGGCAAGUCUGGUGCCAGCAGCCGCGGUAAUUCCAGCUCCAAUAGCGUAUAUUAGAGUUGUUGCAGUUAAAAAGCUCGUAGUUGGAUUUCUGUCGGGAUUUUCCGGUUCUGCCCGUAUGGGUGGGUACUUGGUUUGAUCUUGGCAUUCUUCCGGUUGCCUUCCCCGAUUCAUUGCGUGUUUGGUUUUUCCGGAACUUUUACUUUGAGAAAAAUAGAGUGUUUCAAGCAGGCUUGUCGCCUUGAAUACUUCAGCAUGGAAUAAUAAUAUAGGACUUUGGUUCUAUUUUGUUGGUUUCUAGGACUAAAGUAAUGAUUAAUAGGGACAGUUGGGGGCAUUCGU
Molecule: ribosomal RNA, 502 nt
Filed under: Apicomplexa sp.
Lineage: Eukaryota; Apicomplexa
Description: SSU rRNA
Rfam family: Eukaryotic small subunit ribosomal RNA
Source: RNAcentral